Small nucleolar RNA from Tachyglossus aculeatus (Australian echidna), 138 nucleotides. NCBI's taxonomy places the organism in Eukaryota, Metazoa, Chordata, Mammalia, Monotremata, Tachyglossidae. The record is from RefSeq and is a predicted model, not a curated record.
CCCCUUUCAGGGUCGCAUCUGGAGGGUUUCCAGCACCCUAUCAGUCUUGACUAUGGGAGGGAGAGUCGAGCAGGGGCAUAUCCAUUCCAUUCCUAGCUUGGGCAGUGGCUAGCGAGUGGAAGGCAAUCUGCCACAGAC